CAAACUAAGAUCUACUAUAUUAUUAAGAUCUACACUGCAGAAUUUACGAUGGCAAUGAAGAGUUUGUCCACAAUAUUAAUGAAGAGCUUCUCUCUAGUCUUUGUGAUCAUGGUCUUGCUCACUGGUUCACAGCUCAGAGUUGUCGAAUGUCGAGCCUUGCGAGGAACGAGAGCUAAUGGAUGUGACCAAGCAGGUGAAGGAGCUGGCUUGAUCGGAGUGACUCAGUUCGGUGUGGCUUCAGAUGAUAAUUCGAGUACUGAUGGGAGCAAUGGUGGUUCUGCUAUGAGGAGUUUGAUGUUCAAGUUGGCUUCUGGACCUAGUAGAAAGGGUAAAGGACAUUAGGUAGCAUUUCCACAAGUUUAUUUUCUUCUCAUUUAGGUACAUAUAAUCUAUACUUUGAAUUUAAGAUACAGUACUCCAUCUCCUCUAAAAUAAGAAGGGUAAAGUAUAAACAGAGAUAUUACUCGAAGUGAAGGAGUAAUUAGUAUAUUGUUCAUUUAAACAUCAUAUGUAAUUUUCCGGUUUUUUGAUUCAUACAUAUAUAUGUAUAUUUUAUCCGGUUCAUUAGUUUUGUGAUCAAUUUAUUGUCAAUAUAGUACUCUUGCACAUAGAGUGCAGUCCAUAUAUACAAAUGAAAUUCUUACUUCCCAGC
This 652-nucleotide long non-coding RNA is filed under the name Daucus carota (carrot). RNAcentral describes it as "long non-coding RNA (DCAR_LNC001677)". The record is from RNAcentral. Lineage: Eukaryota; Viridiplantae; Streptophyta; Magnoliopsida; Apiales; Apiaceae.